RNAcentral lists this long non-coding RNA (767 nucleotides) under Felis catus (domestic cat). RNAcentral's name for it is "lncRNA (ENSFCAG00000050028.1)". Lineage: Eukaryota; Metazoa; Chordata; Mammalia; Carnivora; Felidae. The record is from RNAcentral.
CUCGUCUACCAGCUCCCAAAGUAUAAACUUUCCAACGUGCCUGCGGUGCCGUGGACUCACUUCCAAGAGACAACCAGGCCAGGUCAAAUCCAGUUAGUAACAAGGUUUCUAGGAUGGUCUCAUCCCCAUCCCAGCUUUUCCUGAGGUACCAAUGGUGGGACGCAGAAUAACACCUGGUAAAACUCCAGCUGGCUUUCUCGGGGAACAGACACCAUGAAAACACAGUCCUGCUCCCAGAGGAGUGAAGUUGGAAGAUCAGACCAAUAUGUGAGACUCCCUCUUCAGCCCCAGCCUCACAUCGCGGGACACACUGCUGUGCAUGGACGAGGGGCAGCGGCAGGGUCACGUGGAAGGGGAAAACCUUGUCACCAACACCAGGCUACGAAUUCCACCACUGAGCUUCCAUUUAGCUUUCUUUCCAUCACUUUGGGGAUGUAAGUUCACCAGCGCUAUUAAAAUGUUUAAAAAACAAACAAACAACACAUUUCUGUAAGAACGGCUCCUCUCACAAAGGGCUUACGUCAACCCUGUGGUCACUAAAGCUCACAGAGAAGGCUGAUUCCAGAGAACGAACACAGCAUGGCGGGGAAAAGAGAAGACCCCACGGGGGGAGCCACCCCACCAUGCCUUCUAUUUUCCACGAGCAUUUGUUCAAAAAUUAUUCCCACCGUGCGGCCAUCUUGGGUUGAGAAGAGGCGACAUUCAGCAUUUCGUGGAGCCCAAUACGGAGAAGGAAAUUGUGCUUUGAAACAGAUGUAAGUAAAAUC